GCUGCGGGGUCCCUGAGGGGGCCGGCACUGCCGAGCAGCCCCGGGGGCUGAGCGGGACCCUCUGGGUGGGGGUCCAGCGCCUUGCAGGGCCCAUGGCUCCUGUGGCAGGGCAGAGGGGCCUGUCGGCCUGUGAGCAGCCCCGGCAGGGGUGCCCGGGGCCGCAGGGCCACCCCGGCUCCCCGCAGCUCCCGGCGGGAGAGGCGCGGGCCCUGGGAUCUGCCGGGGAGCACGGCCCUCCGAGAGCCACCGAGCCUUGUUGUUUCUAAUUAAUGCCUGUGUGGUAGCCUAAUCUGUGUUACCGGGCUCUCAGGAGUAUUGUCGCACCAAAGGUAUAUUCUGGGGUUCAGUUAAUUAAAAAUUACUUAUAAAUCUGCCUAGGUCCUGUGUUGCACUUAACUCUGCUGUUGUGGCUAUACCACAGAAGAAAUACCCAAUAUUUAUGCAGUUCCAGCAGUAGUUUGGCUAAUUUCCUGUAGAGCUCUUUUCCGUGCUGUUCCUCAUGGGAUUCUAAGGGUUUGCAGUUCUGUCAGCCUCACUCGCUGUGGUGGGGACAUGGGACUGACACCUGAUUUUCCCGUGUCGGGAGCAGAGCACGUCCCCAGAUCCUGGGGAUUGUUCUGCUGCCGGCCUUGGGCUGCCUGCUCUCCUAAGGGCACUUGGUUCUAGAGCUGGAGCUUGCAGCACACACCUCUAGGUAGAUUUGUGCUGGGAUCAAGUUAUGAGUCCCCAGGAGAACUGAAAAUAUGGCAUGUGUUAAAUUCUGGUUUAUUUUAUAAUAAGCUUCCCCCUACCUACCCCUGUUUUUUUCUUUCAAGUACAUGUGGAAGUAUCUAAUGUGUGUUCUCUUUGGCUAUAUACUUCUUAUAAACUCAGUAUCAACCAUGCACUUAAACACAUACUUGUGAGGAUGUGUCUGAUUUGCCUCUAGUAAUGAAGUUCAAGCAAAAACUUGAUGAAAAAUACCUGAUUUCUAUAUACAAAUCUGUGUUUGUGUGUGUUUAUUUUGGAGUUAAUUUCUUUCUGAGACUGAUAACAAGGGAGAAUGUCUCUCUCAUCAAGCCGAACUGAAAGAAGAUAAUACAGAAGCUGGGUUCAGUAUGGUUGAAUAAAUCUAGCCACAGAGCUACACAUUAACUCUGGAUUUUCACACUGCAUUGCAAAGCAUGAUUGUCAGUGAUUGUGGAAGUUGAAGUCCUAGGAAUUUAAUUUCUUGACCAUCUACUUGUGUAGUCUGACAGCUUCAGUCUGAGAGGUGCACCGGAACAACCUGUAUGCUCCUGACGAAGCAUCCUUCCUGUAGCCCCUUCAGACCCCGAAAGGUGCCGUGAGGUCUCCACACAGAAGAACCUUCUCUUCUUUGGGCUGACCAGCUCCAACUUUCUCAGCUUGUCUUCACAGGGGAAGUGCCCCAAUCCUCUGGACUUGCUGCAACAUCUCCGUGUCCUUCUUGUGUUUGGAACACCAAAACUGGAUGCAGCCCUGCCAGUGGGGUCUCACAAGAGCAGAGUGGGGGGAACAGUCACCUCCUUUGACCUUCUGGCCACUCUCCUCUGGAUUCAGCCAAGAAAAGCCCUUGGCUUUCUGGGCUGUGAGCACUCACUGCUGGCUCAUGAUGCAUCAGCUGAGUCUCAAUAGAGACAUUCCCCACUAAGAGGCAGCAAGGGGAAGAGCUGGAAAAGGGUUGCACCUGGUUAGUAGAAGGGUUCCUUUCUAUCUUCCUCUGUCCCUUCUUAGAGCUGUCUGUUUGGAAAUGCUUGACUAUGUUGUGAUGUGUAAUUCUCAGAGAAGAAACAUGGCAGAGACCAGCAGACAUUCAUUUGAAAUGAUUUUCAUUCACUGCAUUCUGGAAUGGACUUGAAAGCAGGUCUCAGAGGCAACUUGUAUGUACCAGUUUGUCUUACAUAUUUAUUUAUGACAGACUUGAAUCUUCAGGAUGGUAUUCUAUCAAAUGACAUACCCACUCAGUGUGAUGUGUGUCUAAAAAUAGGUCAUUGUCAAAGGACAGGAAAGGAAUUGUAUAAAUCUAUAAACUAAACCAUUGCAGUCUAGUGGGAUAGCAUACUCUGAAGCUGAGGUAAUGCUAUCUUCAAAAUUGCAGCUUUCCAUGGAUUAUUUUCUAGAAUAAUGCAUUAACACUGUAUUUAUCAAAAUAGACUCUAAAGACAGCUAAUGCUAAUGGGUCACUUCUGACACAGCAGUUAGAAACAGUAAAGUAAAACAAACAAUCUCAGAAGGUGGAAGGGCUGGACCAAACUUUGCUCUUAUGCUUAAAAUAUUACUGAUUUGAACCUCCCAUUUUUUUAUGUGUUAAAUGAUAUCGUAAAAAACUUAUUUAGUGCUGGGACUUAGGUAUUUGGGUUUGAGAAUAAUGCUUCUGUUUUGUGCAUUUGGUCAAUGUGAAUGGAUUUUUUCCUCUAGUUAAUCUAGGGUGUUGAGAGGCCUGAAAAAUAAGACUCUGAAGAAUGAUACUGUUUAAAAAUGGGCAUUAGGAAAGGCAUUUUUGUCAUUUCAAAUAACCUGUUGAUGUAUACGAAUGUGCGGGGUUUGGACCACAACAGAACAAUGCAGAUUUUUUUAGUGUUCAUGACAGCAUAAGCGCCAGUACACAGGUGAGGUCUUGAACUCAGCUGCACAAAUGAUAUGUUUAGGUGCUUAAUGCAGUGUUGUUACUGCAAACUCAAUAGAAAGGCUAAUAUUUAAUUAAGGAUAGAGCGUGGAAAUGAUCAGCAAAAGAACAAAUGCAUCCGUGUACAGGGUUCUAUUGAGAGGUUUGGAGUUACCAGGUAAAGGGGAAGUGUGACAUCUGGUGGAAAGAUGGUAUCAGGAGCAAGAGAUCCAUUAGUGAUAAAUGGCAUUAUUUGGCAUGAAAAUGCAUUAUAUGAUGUUUGAAAUCACUGCUGGAUAUAAAAUUCACAUGAGUGACAUAUUUUGUGGUCUCAUAGUUCAUAUUGUCUGAACCAAAAUACAUGGCAAUAUGAUUAUGUUCUUAAUGAACAGUGAACUUUUCUAAGCUACCAAAGAAAGCUUAUUUUAUUAAGUUCCUUCCCCAAACUCUUAAUCUACACUGAAAAUAAAUUAAUAUGGUACAGA
This is a non-coding RNA of Cyanistes caeruleus (blue tit), 3090 nucleotides long. NCBI's taxonomy places the organism in Eukaryota, Metazoa, Chordata, Aves, Passeriformes, Paridae. The record is from RefSeq and is a predicted model, not a curated record.